GUGCACCUGCAGGGUGUGUUCCCGGCCGCAGCCCCGCGCCAGCUGCAGCUCCUUGAUCGAGCCGGAUCCUGAGCCGGGAACACGGGCUGAAGCGGCGCGGGGCGCCCCGCCCGGGGCUCCAUUGUUGAGGCUGCCGUGGCUCUGUCGGCUGCUCAGCUGCGCUCCAGUCGGCCCCAGGCGCCGCGGCGAGGAGCUAGCGCUGCGAGGCGGCGGCUGAGGGUUCAAGACUGUCAGAGCUGGGAGCCACCUUCACAACUACCAGGGUUUCCGGAACCUCCUUCAUCUAGCCCUGGGGAUGGAAGAGAUGUCAUCAGAGAGACGGGAUUUCACCAUGUUUCCCAGGCUGAUCUCAAAGUCCUGGACUCAAGCGAUCCCCCCACCUCGGCCUCCCACAGUGCUGGGAUGACAGGCGUGAGCCACCGCGCUGGCCCGGGCUGUUCAUUUGUUUGCAUUCUUCUCAAAUUAGUUUUGAGUUUCCCUGAUGGUCUCUUUGACUCACUGGUUGUUUAGGAGUGUGUAAUUUCCACAUAUUUUUGAAUUUCUCACAUUUCCUUCACUGUUGAUUUCCAGCUUCGUGCCAGUACAGCUGAAGAACACCUCUGCUUCGGUCUCAGUCCUUCUCCAUUCACUGCGGCUCAUUUUGUGGCCUGGCGCAUGGUCUGUCAUGGGGAAUGUCCCCUGGGUGCGCGAGAGGACUGUGUAUUCAGCUGUUGUUGGGUGGCGUGUGUAACAGAUGUCCAUUCGGCGUACCUGGUUUCCUGUGUUAAUCUCCGGAAUGUUUCUGGCACUAGAAAAUCAGAAGCUUUCCACUGUUCCCAGCGCCCUGGCUUUGGGAGAGGCCAGUGAG
RNAcentral lists this long non-coding RNA (847 nucleotides) under Macaca mulatta (Rhesus monkey). RNAcentral describes it as "lncRNA (ENSMMUG00000063207.1)". The record is from RNAcentral. Lineage: Eukaryota; Metazoa; Chordata; Mammalia; Primates; Cercopithecidae.